GUCACUUGGGGAUCUUGUUAAAAUGCAGAUUCUGAUUCCCAAGCUGGCUGAGGAUAAUGUUUCUGCAUUUCUAAUAAGCUCCCAGGUGAUGCUAA
This 95-nucleotide microRNA precursor is filed under the name Mus musculus (house mouse). RNAcentral describes it as "mir-544 microRNA precursor family". It matches the Rfam family "mir-544 microRNA precursor family". Lineage: Eukaryota; Metazoa; Chordata; Mammalia; Rodentia; Muridae. The record is from Rfam by way of RNAcentral.